AUGCAGUCGAGCGAGAACCAUGGCUUCGGCCAUGGGGACAGCGGCGAACGGGUGAGUAACACGUGAGUAAUCUGCCCUCGACAUCGGGAUAGCCCGGGGAAACCCGGAUUAAUACCGGAUAGCCUCUGGAGCUCUAGGGCUCUUGAGAAAAGAUGGCUUCGGCUUUCGGUUGAGGAGGAGCUUGCGGCGGAUUAGCUUGUUGGUGGGGUAAAGGCCCACCAAGGCGACAAUCCGUAGCUGGUCUGAGAGGACGAUCAGCCACACUGGGACUGAGACACGGCCCAGACUCCUACGGGAGGCAGCAGUGGGGAAUCUUGCGCAAUGAGCGAAAGCUUGACGCAGCGACGCCGCGUGAGGGAAGAAGGCCUUCGGGUUGUAAACCUCUUUCAGGAGGGACGAAGCCACUCGGGUUAAUACCCCAGAGGGUGACGGUACCUCCAGAAGAAGCCCCGGCUAACUACGUGCCAGCAGCCGCGGUAAUACGUAGGGGCAAGCGUUGUCCGGAAUUAUUGGGCGUAAAGAGCGUGUAGGCGGCCAAGUAGGUCCGUUGUGAAAAC
RNAcentral lists this ribosomal RNA (557 nucleotides) under uncultured bacterium. Its description in RNAcentral is "bacterial SSU rRNA". It matches the Rfam family "Bacterial small subunit ribosomal RNA", at positions 55 to 601 of the family's 1533-position model. The record is from RNAcentral.